RNAcentral lists this ribosomal RNA (218 nucleotides) under uncultured Erysipelothrix sp. RNAcentral describes it as "partial 16S ribosomal RNA". It matches the Rfam family "Bacterial small subunit ribosomal RNA", at positions 1165 to 1382 of the family's 1533-position model. Lineage: Bacteria; Bacillati; Bacillota; Erysipelotrichia; Erysipelotrichales; Erysipelotrichaceae. The record is from RNAcentral.
AGGGAAAGGUGGGGAUGACGUCAAAUCAUCAUGCCCCUUAUGACCUGGGCUACACACGUACUACAAUGGCGUAUACAACGGGAAGCGAAAUGGUGACAUGGAGCAAAUCUCACAAAGUACGUCUCAGUUCGGAUUGAAGUCUGCAACUCGACUUCAUGAAGUCGGAAUCGCUAGUAAUCGCGGAUCAGCAUGCCGCGGUGAAUACGUUCUCGGGCCUU